UAAUACGGAGGAUCCGAGCGUUAUCCGGAUUUAUUGGGUUUAAAGGGUGCGUAGGCGGGAGAUUAAGUCAGCGGUGAAAGUUUGCAGCUUAACUGUAAAAUUGCCGUUGAAACUGAUUUUCUUGAGUGUAAAUAAGGUAGGCGGAAUGUGUUGUGUAGCGGUGAAAUGCAUAGAUAUAACACAGAACCCCGAUUGCGAAGGCAGCUUACCGGGCUACAACUGACGCUGAGGCACGAAAGCGUGGGGAUCAAACAGG
Molecule: ribosomal RNA, 256 nt
Filed under: uncultured bacterium
Lineage: Bacteria
Description: partial 16S ribosomal RNA
Rfam family: Bacterial small subunit ribosomal RNA
Source: RNAcentral